AGCAGCCGCGGUAAUUCCAGCUCCAAUAGCGUAUAUUAAAGUUGUUGCAGUUAAAAAGCUCGUAGUUGAAUUUCGGGAUCAAUACGUCGGUCGUGCCUUCGGUACGUACUGGGGUCGUUGAUUUCUCCCUUCUGAUGAAUCACGAUGUCAUUAAUUUGGUGUUGUGGGGAGUCAGGACUGUUACUUUGAAAAAAUUAGAGUGUUUAAAGCAGGCAAACGCUUGGAUACAUUAGCAUGGAAUAAUGAAAUAGGACGUUCGAACCUAUUUUGUUGGUUUCUAGGAUCAACGUAAUGAUUAAUAGGGAUAGUUGGGGGCAUUAGUAUUCAAUUGUCAGAGGUGAAAUUCUUGGAUUUAUUGAAGACUAACUACUGCGAAAGCAUUUGCCAAGGAUGUUUUCAUUAAUCAAGAACGAAAGUUAGGGGAUCGAAGACGAUCAGAUACCGUCGUAGUCUUAACCAUAAACUAUGCCGACUAGGGAUCGGAUGAAGUUAAUUUUUAAUGACUCAUUUCGGCGCCUUA
RNAcentral lists this ribosomal RNA (520 nucleotides) under uncultured Glomus. Its description in RNAcentral is "SSU rRNA". It matches the Rfam family "Eukaryotic small subunit ribosomal RNA", at positions 569 to 1090 of the family's 1831-position model. Lineage: Eukaryota; Fungi; Glomeromycota; Glomeromycetes; Glomerales; Glomeraceae. The record is from RNAcentral.